GACGAACGCUGGCGGCGUGCUUAACACAUGCAAGUCGAACGGUGACGGAGAGCUUGCUCUCCUGAUCAGUGGCGAACGGGUGAGUAACACGUGGGCAACCUGCCCAGACUUCGGGAUAACGCUUCGAAAGAGGUGCUAAUACCGGAUACGAGCUCCUUGGGCAUCCUUGGAGUUGGAAAAGUUUUUCGGUCUGGGAUGGGCCCGCGGCCUAUCAGCUAGUUGGUGAGGUAACGGCUCACCAAGGCGACGACGGGUAGCCGGCCUGAGAGGGCGACCGGCCACACUGGGACUGAGACACGGCCCAGACUCCUACGGGAGGCAGCAGUGGGGAAUAUUGCGCAAUGGGCGAAAGCCUGACGCAGCAACGCCGCGUGAGGGAUGACGG
This 385-nucleotide ribosomal RNA is filed under the name uncultured bacterium. RNAcentral's name for it is "bacterial SSU rRNA". It matches the Rfam family "Bacterial small subunit ribosomal RNA", at positions 28 to 414 of the family's 1533-position model. The record is from RNAcentral.